Molecule: long non-coding RNA, 888 nt
Organism: Procambarus clarkii (red swamp crayfish)
Lineage: Eukaryota; Metazoa; Arthropoda; Malacostraca; Decapoda; Cambaridae
Source: RefSeq, a predicted model, not a curated record
GCUCCUCUAACUUCUGGAACUUCCUCGGUGGGUGACGGCGAAUGAUGGAUUCAGAGGGAUCCACUGGGGCCACUUCGAACGCCACAGGUCGCCCGUCAGCUGGGGAAGACAGAGAGGGAAAGACCAGACUUAUAGAAUUUUUUCGUAGAGGAAGGACGUACCUUUCUGGGUGAGUGAGGGAAGCAGCCCGUGACAGCUGACUAACUCCCAGGUACCUAUUUACUGCUAGGUAACAGGUCCAUUCAGGGUGAAAGAAACUUUCACUCUAAAUAACCUCAGACCCCGGACCAGCCUAUUACCGUCCCACACCCCACACCAUUCCCUCUGCAAAGCUGGGUGAGAGUAGCCCCAAGCAUAUGGCAUUCAAGUUUGGACAGACAAACAAACAGACUUUGAGGCAUUUUUUCAGAUAUGGAUAAGUGGCUUUGGAUAAGAGCAAACGAGUACAUUUACAUUUAUAUUUACAUUAUUUACAUUAUUAUUUGAGUAUUUACAUUUACCUUCACAUUUUACACUGUAAGUUAUUUACAUGCUUUUUUGUAUAUGUAAUUUACCAGAAUUAAAUAUGUAUAGCUACAAUAUAUCAAGCCUUGUGUGAUUAAAAUAAUAAUUUGUCUCUCUGUAAGACAAUAUGUAACCCCAUAUGUAUCCAUAAGGCUUACCGGAAAGGUCUAUAAUGCAAUAACAUAUAUGAAUUUACACAUUCCCUGGAAACGUAUUCUAGCAAUUUGUCAUCCAAAUGACGUCAAUGUAAUCCUAGUAGUAUGUGGUCUGACUCACACACUAUUAUGUUUAAUCCGGGAGUUUGAUAUAUGUUUAAUAAUUUAAUAUGUAGAUAAAACUUUCUGCACACUCACGCACACAAGACUGAGGACUCGACACACAACA